Haplochromis burtoni (Burton's mouthbrooder) is the source of this 4946-nucleotide long non-coding RNA. RefSeq lists it as uncharacterized. The transcript has 3 exons. The record is from RefSeq and is a predicted model, not a curated record. NCBI's taxonomy places the organism in Eukaryota, Metazoa, Chordata, Actinopteri, Cichliformes, Cichlidae.
CGUUGUCAUUUGGAAAUGAGAUCGCACAUAAGUAUGAAUCGAGAUCGCGAUUUUCUAACGAUUAAUCGUGCAGCCCUACCGCUUAGCGUUAGCAUGCUGUGCUUGCGGAAUGUUGAAGUUGUGUUAACAGUAUAAGGCAGUUGUGUCUGUCCCAGUUUCCACUUUACCAUUGCGCUCUCAUCCUUUUAUACAAUAAAAAAUAAAAUAAAAGUCCAUAUUCACGUCAUAAACUGCACUACUGUUUUCCUCCUCUUACACAUAAACUAAAUCAGCUGAAUGUAGCAAGAGUGCAAGAACGGAUAAGCAGGGUCGAUAGGCAGGCAGACUAACGAUUUGAAGGAAGUAGACUACUGGGAACCAGUUCUUGACAAGAACCAGUUCUCGAUUCCCAUCCCUAAAUAGCACAGAGCGGUACACUAGAUUCACACCUACUUAUAAAAAUGUGGAAGAUGGUGUGCUUGCAAAGGCCACUGUACUUUACCUCUUCCUGGAGCUGCACAGAGUCCAAACAUGUUCCAGGGUUGAGGAAACUUUUAUUUUUCUUCUGUUUUGUUUUUCAACCCAGUGUCACAUUUGGUGAAAAAUCCGGACUGCAAUAUUGCCUAAAGCUCUCUGUGCUGUACAGGCCACAGCGCUCAUACUUUUUAUGUUAGUACCAAAUGUGCUUAAAAAUCCUAGAGCUACUUUUAAGUCUGAGAACUCAAUGUGAUGCGCUUCCCUUUGAUUUUUUUUUUUUUAAAGCAUUUCCACAUUAUGUUUUUGUUGGUACACUAUGAUCUUGUUGAGACUUAAUGAUAACCCUUUAACUGUCGUUUUUAAACAUACAACAUCAGAGUUUUGUUGCCUUAUCAGUUUCUCCCUGUGGGAGUCCUUUAUAUUCUUUUCCCUUCAUUCCACCUCUCUUUUCUCUAACCUUUUGGACUAUGUUCAGCUGCUGCUGUUGAUAAGAAUGCUCACUGGUAGGCUGUGUCUUGUCCUUUUUUGUUUUUUGUUUUCUUCCCUUUUCUUUCAAUAUAAGUGUCCAGUCCAAUCACUACCAGAUACAGCCAUUGUUCUGCUUUAUUGCUAAGCUUGAACCAGAGUGGUUCUGACAACUGUCAAACCUUACAUAUCCCCCAAAAAUCACUUUUUAGCAGUUGUUUGAAACUGUCUUAACGCCACUGAAAAGCUGCACUAUGUAAUCCAUUGUCAACGUCCUUGCCCAUAUUUCCACUACUACCUGCCUUUAAGAAAUCAAUGGUAGUUUGUCUUGGUACAAAAAGACAGAGAUAACACUAACAUCAGUUUCCCUUUGUGUGAAGUUUGCUUAGUCAUUCAUGUAGACUUUCCCAAACUUCUUUUGAAUGUCCAUCUUUGCCUGUUGGUCAGAAAUAUUCAUUACAACAAAAGCCCGAUGAUUCUCACUUCAUUCAAAAAAUAAAAGAAGAAGAAAUCAUUAAGGACAGCCUUUCUUAGCUACUCAGGAUGAGUGAUGUGCCUGUGACUAUGAACUGUUGCUGUCUUGACUCCACAUUUGAUUCCACCAGGUUGACUCAAGAAUGUGACUCAGAUCGAGUAACCUAAGACACAAUGGAUCAUGGAGACUGAGGAACAAAACAAAAAAGUCUGUCACUCCACUCUGUCUGCACAUACUGCAGUGUGCGCGAUCAACUCAGUCAUGCGCUCUCUCACAAGUCUGGGCCGAUGCCUAAGUUCUAAACAGAGCACCCUGUGUGUCAGGAAAACUAUAUCCUCACACACAAAGAGAAGGAGAGAAUGAACAGUAAAUAUUCAAACUACACAAAACGUUGUUCAACAGAAAAACGGAUCGAUAAAGAGUUGAAGCUCUCCGUGCCAAGUGACUCCUCGUAAAUGGGUACUUAAACUUUUUCUCUUUUCCCCCCCUCCCUCCUUUUGGUGGGGUGAGAUGAGGAGCCAAACGGACUUGGUGUUUAAAGUGAGAAAAUGAAAGCUGUGGUUCCUAAUGUCCUGUCUAAGUGGAUGUCUCUAUGUGUGAUGAAGCGUGAAGUGCUCUGUAACCCUAACAAAAUGACUAUCACUGUGUUCCUGUGCUUUUAAAUGGCCUCCUCACUGUCACUAUCUCUGCCUCCAUCCUCCUCAGUAUGAAAUGGGAAGGCAAAAUGGAGGACAUCCAUAAAUAGAGUAAUUGCAUGAAGGGCAGGUGUUUAUUGUACCCUCAGCCCUCACACACUCUAUAAUGAUCCAAAAAGGUCAAAUUGUUAAUGGUGCUCGAACUUCAUAUUUUCCUCUGUCCAUACUGAAUAUUGUAUAAAGUUAGAUUAUGUGUAGUCUGUUUAAUCUUCUAUGAUAGUUCACACCUCAAAACACAAAAAUGCUCAAACUGCAAAUUUAUCCAUGUGCUUGCCACAACGAUGGAUACGUAAUCUUUUUUUAUAUAACUUCAUUAAAUCACAAUGGACUCCUGCUAGUGAUCAACAAGUGUGAGUUUCGAAGUCAACACAAAUCUGUUGGGGUGAAAAACUGUAGCUUAUUGUGUUGAAAACGUAUGUGACUCGGACUGCAGCGGGUUUCUUUCAGGAUUUCUCAGGAGUUUUGCUGCAUUCAAUUUACCCUCUACCGUCACAAGCUGCUGCAGCGAAGCCUCCACACAGCAUGACGCAGCCACCAUCACACUUAUGGGGAUAAUGUUUUGUAGUGGUGAGGAGUUACUGACUUGUGAAAGCAGUGGGCAGAAUUCAUAAAAUAAGCCUAAUUCCACGUGAAUCCUCCACUUUUGUAAUGCCAGCUUCCUCUAUAGUAGCCCGCUGGUUUUAUAGGUAGUGUUUCCAUGUCAGCUUUAGGAUUGUGUAGACCUCCUGUAGACAUCUUGGUGCUCUUCUUCAUUAAAUGUUGCACAAGUACAGUGUGCUCUAUAGAGAUGAGCAAUUUUUUUCAUGAUAUUAAACUGAUGAGUCAUGUAACUUAGCUUUUCUCUAAGUAAUACUUUAGAGUGACAAAUCACUCAAGUGUUUGUAAUGCAUUUAUAGUACUAGCCCAACUUUUUUUUUUUAAAAUAUUAAAUGAACAUAUAAAGGGAAUGAAUAGUUUUUACAGAUGUUUUACAUUCUGUGAUGAUGAUCUUUGGUGCAACAGUUUUUCUAUGUGUCUGGCUUCUGUAUUGCCAAUGAAUUUACCACAAAAGUUAUUUUAGUCUAACAUAAUUUAUUGAAACAUUGUAACACAGACAUGAUUUAAUAAACAAAACUUGAACUAUAAUCGAAGGUUUCUUUAAAAAAAUCUUGACAUUUUAUAUUUUUGUACCAUAAAUCCCUUUUGAAGAAAACAUUCUUCCUUCAUUCAAAUGAUUUUCAUGUAAAAACUACACAUUUUAAACAUGGCUUAAAAUGUGUUGAUUUAGUGUCCCCUUCUAACAAGUCGUCUGUUUUUAUAGUAAUCUAAUUACAGACUUGUGGGGCAUGAAUGCAAAGCCACUGUUUGCUUAUUGCUCUUCUACAAAUGUUAAGAGAUGCAAAAUCAAUGGUUUAAUUCAACAUUUGCAUUUCUAAUGUUGGCAUUUUCCAAACUUUAUCCCUCUUGAGUCUCGCGCCAUUCCCUAUAGCCCCAAACAAAACAUGGCUGCAAGAGGGGUGGAUGUGACUCUCAAGUCAAAACGUGUGUUAAAGUGUACACUAAUCCUCUGGUACAUACAUGAAGAAGAGUUCAAGACAGUCUCGUAAUCAUGCUUACCUUAUACUCUGGGUUUUUGUCAGAGGCAAGCGUGAGUUUAUUAGAAGUACCUCUGGGUCCAUUUCAUUCAAACAUUUGUGAUGUGACCAUGUGCUGCUUAUUCCUUCAAAAUUAAGUAUUUCAUGUUGUAGCAUUUAAAGCUAAUUUGAUUUCUUUUUCCUUUGAGCCAUUUUGUUUAUUUUUAGUCACAGUGCUCCUUUGUAAGUUUUUUUUUUUUUUUUUUUUCUUCCUUAUUUGCUUCAUAAAAUGUCAUCAUGCAUUCAGAUGCAAAUAUGAAAAAGCAGCUUCUGCACAUGAAUUCAGUGAGACUCUUAAUGCGAAUGUUUCUGGAAGAAAUGUUGCUGGUAAAUACUGUUUACAUCUGCUAAAGGGGUUUGAAUGGGAGAAAUGGAUUUUUGUUGCAGCAAAAGUCGUCAGAAGCUGAUUUCCCACUUGGAGCUCUGGAUUAAUGACAUGGGAGAUGAUCUCAGCGUUGCUCUUGCUCAGUACAGUAUGUAUCCUCUAAUCUUUCUCGCUGUGCUGUUGCAUGACCACCAAUCCUGUUACUACGGAACUCCAGACGCUAUCUAUUCUCAGCCUUACCCAUUUUGAUCUGAAUGAAUCUGCCCUUUAUAAACACCUGUCAGGAACAAAAGCCACUCCCGGGCUUGUCACUGCUGAGUUGUUUUUGUUACCCCCGCUGCGAUAUUUGCUCAGGGUGCCAAGUUCAUUUAAUCAUAUUCAGUAUACAAACGCUACAGCCGUGAUUUAUGAGGACCAUGCUGGCUGUCGUACAGAAAAUUCUCAUGCACCAGCGUCUUCUGAUUCAGUCAUGUUGCUAAAAACCAUAAGUACCUAAAAAGGAAUUGUCCAUCCAAAAAAAGAAAAGGGAUCUACACAGCCGGAUGAGCUAAAGACGAUUUCUCUCAGUGCUCUGAAUAUCUUUCACUGAAACAGACGAGAGGGGCUUGUAGCUGUAUUGAGCACAAAAGUUCACAUGGGUUGGUCUAAGUCCAUUGCCCUUCGUAAAUAAUUUGCCCUGUUCCACCACCGUAUUCACUUACUUUGUCAUGAUUUGGUAAAAUCAAAUAUUUAAGUCCAGUUAGUACUCCUACAAUCUCUUUUUGCUUGAUGUCUUGCACAAAGUUGAAUGAGCCAUCUUUUAACAUUGUUUUCAUGUUUGUUUCUUUCUCUCCCCCGUCUUUGUUUCAACUUCAUCACCCCUCCUUUUCUGUCAUGGGCCUAUCCAUUCUUUUCUCUCUUUUUUUUUUUUUUUUUUU